UGGGGAAUAUUGGACAAUGGGCGAAAGCCUGAUCCAGCCAUGCCGCGUGUGUGAAGAAGGUCUUCGGAUUGUAAAGCACUUUAAGUUGGGAGGAAGGGCAGUAAGCUAAUACCUUGCUGUUUUGACGUUACCGACAGAAUAAGCACCGGCUAACUCUGUGCCUAG
RNAcentral lists this ribosomal RNA (165 nucleotides) under uncultured bacterium. Its description in RNAcentral is "partial 16S rRNA". It matches the Rfam family "Bacterial small subunit ribosomal RNA", at positions 355 to 512 of the family's 1533-position model. The record is from RNAcentral.